AAAGGAAUUGACGGGGGCCCGCACAAGCGGAGGAGCAUGUGGUUUAAUUCGAUGAUACGCGAGGAACCUUACCCGAACUUGAACGUAUGAUGAAUAAUUUAAGAGAUUAGAUUAGUUAGCAAUAACAUUAUACGAGGUGCUGCAUGGUUGUCGUCAGCUCGUGCCGUGAGGUGUCAGGUUAAGUCCUAUAACGAGCGCAACCCCUGCACAUAGUUACCAGCACGUUAAGGUGGGGACUCUAUGUGGACUGCCGGCGCAAGCUGCGAGGAAGGCGGGGAUGACGUCAAAUCAGCACGGCCCUUACGUUCGGGGCGACACACGUGCUACAAUGGCAGGUACAGAGGGCAGCGACACAGUGAUGUGGAGCGAAUCUCGAAAGCCUGUCUCAGUUCGGAUCGGAGUCUGCAACCCGACUUCGUGAAGAUGGAUUCGCUAGUAAUCGCAGAUCAGCCAUGCUGCGGUGAAUACGUUCCCGGGCCUUGUACACACCGCCCGU
This 496-nucleotide ribosomal RNA is filed under the name uncultured bacterium. Its description in RNAcentral is "bacterial SSU rRNA". It matches the Rfam family "Bacterial small subunit ribosomal RNA", at positions 903 to 1397 of the family's 1533-position model. The record is from RNAcentral.